This is a long non-coding RNA of Quercus lobata, 416 nucleotides long. RefSeq lists it as uncharacterized. NCBI's taxonomy places the organism in Eukaryota, Viridiplantae, Streptophyta, Magnoliopsida, Fagales, Fagaceae. The record is from RefSeq and is a predicted model, not a curated record. The transcript has 4 exons.
CAUGGAAAUUAUGACUAUUUAUGUUUUCUAAGUUGGUGUUUAGCUUUGCUUGAAGCUUCAAGAAAAGUUAAUUUCAGAGAUCUCUUAAGACAAGGCUUGCAUCUAGAAGGUUUAAUAAGUGGACAUAUAUACUCAAUGCUUACUCAAAUUUGCGUAUAAAAAAGCUUAUGAAUUUUAAGGAGAAAGAUGGCUUUUCAUUUUGAUUGGUGAUGAACUGGACUAAUUAUACCACUCACCAGUGGCAUGGAAUCUUUGAGUUAAGGUGAAAAGGGUUGCAUUGGUGAGCUUCUUUUGUAUUUCUCUUGCCUUUCGAAGGGCACGAGACUGAGGAUGUAUGCUUUUAUAAUGCUUGGCCUACAUGAGAUGGAGUUUCUACUAAUGAACAAUUAGAUGCUUGAAGUGCACACAAGAUUGAG